This 426-nucleotide ribosomal RNA is filed under the name uncultured bacterium. Its description in RNAcentral is "bacterial SSU rRNA". It matches the Rfam family "Bacterial small subunit ribosomal RNA", at positions 356 to 774 of the family's 1533-position model. The record is from RNAcentral.
GGGGAAUUUUGGACAAUGGGCGCAAGCCUGAUCCAGCAAUGCCGCGUGCAGGAUGAAGGCCUUCGGGUUGUAAACUGCUUUUGUACGGAACGAAAAAGCUCUCUCUAAUACAGGGGGUGAAUGACGGUACCGUAAGAAUAAGCACCGGCUAACUACGUGCCAGCAGCCGCGGUAAUACGUAGGGUGCAAGCGUUAAUCGGAAUUACUGGGCGUAAAGGGCGCGUAGGCGGCCUGUUUAGUCAGAAGUGAAAGCCCCGGGCUCAACCUGGGAAUAGCUUGUGAUACUGGCAGGCUUGAGUUCCGGAGAGGAUGGUGGAAUUCCCAGUGUAGAGGUGAAAGUCGUAGAUAUUGGGAAGAACACCGGUGGCGAAGGCGGCCAUCUGGACGGACACUGACGCUGAGGCGCGAAAGCGUGGGGAGCAAACA